AACCAAUAAAAUCAAUCAUCUUCAGUUUUGAAAGACUUAGGCAACUAAGUUUUUUUUCGUGACUUCACGAAGGGCCUAUAGCUCAGUUGGUUAGAGCACACGCCUGAUAAGCGUGAGGUCGGUGGUUCAAGUCCAUUUAGGCCCACCAGAGUUAUAGGUUUCGUAAGAACACAAAUUCUUUGAAAAUU
This 188-nucleotide unclassified non-coding RNA is filed under the name Candidatus Phytoplasma citri. Its description in RNAcentral is "Candidatus Phytoplasma aurantifolia 16S-23S ribosomal RNA intergenic spacer". The stretch from base 72 to 145 matches the Rfam family "tRNA". The record is from RNAcentral. Lineage: Bacteria; Bacillati; Mycoplasmatota; Mollicutes; Acholeplasmatales; Acholeplasmataceae.